This 74-nucleotide transfer RNA is filed under the name Aeromonas salmonicida. RNAcentral describes it as "tRNA-Arg". The stretch from base 6 to 65 matches the Rfam family "tRNA", at positions 6 to 65 of the family's 71-position model. From Rfam's summary of the family: Transfer RNA (tRNA) molecules are approximately 80 nucleotides in length. Their secondary structure includes four short double-helical elements and three loops (D, anti-codon, and T loops). Further hydrogen bonds mediate the characteristic L-shaped molecular structure. tRNAs have two regions of fundamental functional importance: the anti-codon, which is responsible for specific mRNA codon recognition, and the 3' end, to which the tRNAs corresponding amino acid is attached (by aminoacyl-tRNA synthetases). tRNAs cope with the degeneracy of the genetic code in two manners: having more than one tRNA (with a specific anti-codon) for a particular amino acid; and 'wobble' base-pairing, i.e. permitting non-standard base-pairing at the 3rd anti-codon position. Lineage: Bacteria; Pseudomonadati; Pseudomonadota; Gammaproteobacteria; Aeromonadales; Aeromonadaceae. The record is from RNAcentral.
GACAUUUUAACUCUAUUAACAGGUACGGCCUUCUAAGCCGUGGGUCGCAGGUUCGAAUCCUGCAGGGCGCACCA